CAGUUUUUGGAACUAGGAGAGUUAAAUGGAAGGAACUAAGGAUGCAUGCAAGCUCAAACACUAGCUCUGACUGCAACCGAGUCCGCAAACUAUUCUGUGGAAAAUAACCAAGGCCUUUGAUAGACCGCAACCCGUCAAACCGCCACUGAAAUGUUGUGAAGGAUGGGUGUUGAAGCGCCUAGCCGUUGCUUCAUAGCAACACGUUUCCGACGGCCUAAUGAAGUUCGUAAUUUUUAAGCAGGCGCAUUAAUGCACCGUUGUCGUCACUUGCUUGUCAUGCAUUGUACUUUGAACACCAAAAUUAUAUUUCUCCGAUGUUUGAGUAUUUCUACAGUUCUUUUAUUCCUGCAAGACCUCGUAAUCCUCUACAUGGCCCAUUACGAGCAGGAUAUAUGAAGAUCAGCGCUUAAAAUUGAAGGAAGAAAUAAUUAAGGAUCGUCAAUUAGCCGGGCGUGACAAUUAGCCGGCGUGACUUGCAGGUUUUGUGCAGGACAAUUAUUGGGACUGAUCUCAAGCAAUUUAAUUGCGGUGUAUUGCAUUUAUUAUUAUUAAUAUCAUCACCCAACACUCAGGUUGAAUACACUUGUCUCCCAGCAUGUCCGAGGAAAGGGAAUUAGUCAAGAAGCGAGGAAGCUUCAAAGGUCGAUUGACUGCUUUCGUUAACUUUCUGGAUUCACUCAAGGACAGAACCCUAACCAGUUGUGACACGGCUGAGCUGCAGCUGCGCAUAGGCAAGAUGGAGUCGUUGUAUGAGUAGUAUGAUGAGGUACAGUUACGUCUGGAAUGCAUUGUCGAGGACAUUAAAUUACAAUUUUCCGAACGUGCUGAUUUUGAGUCUCUUUAUUAUAAAUCCUUGUCUAGGGCACAGAAUAUUAUCAGUGAAUAUAAUAAAGAUAAUGGAUCGAUGGAAAGCUGUAAAAGUACUCACACUAAUGUGCAUAAGCCAGUUAAGUUGCCAACAAUUCAGUUACCUAAGUUCAGCGGUUUAUAUACGAAUUGGCUGGAAUUCCGUGACACCUUUAGUAGUCUUGUAAAUUGCAAUGAUAGCAUUGACGAUAUUAAUAAAUUCCACUACUUGAGAGCAUCUAUUGAAGGGUCGGCUGCGGUAGUUAUUAAUUCUAUUGAAUGUUCCUCGAGUAAUUAUUCUGUGGCAUGGCAGUUGUUAUGUGAUCGGUUUGAUAACAGAAGAUUACUCAUACAAAAUCAUGUGUCUGCUUUAUUUAAUGUUGAAAGUAUCACAAAGGAGUCUUCUGUUGUAUUAAAGUCUUUAAUUGAUUUAAUAAAUAAAAACUUGCGUCGCACGUAGGUAAAUUGUGUCGUGUAAGGAUAACACCGAUGGACGAUAGUGUUACUUUCGAUCUUAAUUGUUUUGUUUUGCCAUACAUUACAAGUAAUGUUCCGUGCCGUGAAAUUAAUUAUGCCGAAUUAAAUAUUCCGCUAAAUAUAACUUUAGCAGAUCCUACAUUUUGCACGCCCGCUGAGGUAGAUAUUCUCAUCUGUGCUGAUCUCUUUUGGGAUUUGUUAGGAUCACAGAGAAUAAAGCUAGGUACCGGAAAACCUGUUUUGUAUGAAACUAGUUUAGGGUGGAUAGUUUCCGGUCCAAUUAGUGAGAAUUCAAUUUCAUUGCUAUGUAAUGAUUUAAAAUGUAAUUUUUCUAAAACUGCUUCUGAUAAUAAUAAUACUGAAUUGGAACACUUUAGAUCAGAUGAAUUAGGGUUCCCUAUAAAAUUGAGUCAGCGAUCAGCCGGGUCUACUAAACGUGAUUUGUUGUCCGUGAUUACGCGAAUCUUUGACCCUUUAGGUCUAUUAGGCCCUAUUGUUGUCUCCAUGAAAAUGCUGUUACAAAUUAUGUGUUAAGAUUUAUAAAGUCAUGCCAGAAGCAGUCUCCUAAAACUAAUUAUUAGAAUUUUAUAUAAUAAAAAACAUCCUUGUUUAUUACAGUCCACUCAUCAAUUUACCAAAUUAUUAUUUUAUUUUGAGCAUAAAAGGCUUUUGCACGCUGGCCCGCAAUUAUUAUUAGCAUCGAUAAGGGAAUCUUAUUGGCCGAUAGGGGCCGCAACUUGGCGAAGGCUUGUUAUUAAAAGUGCGUUCUGUGUCGGCGCAUGAAGGGCAAGGUGGUAGCACCUAUUAUGGGUAACUUACCGCAAGAACGGCUUCGUCCAGGUUAUCCCUUCGAGAGUACAGGCGUUGAUUACGCCGGCCCUAUCUUGUGUGCCAGCCGUCAAGGCCGUGGAUGCAGGCUGGUAAAGGUGUACAUUGCCAUUUUUAUAUGUUUCACCACUAAAGCUAUUCAUUUGGCACUUGUUGGCGACUUAACGGGUAAAAGUUACUUACUGGCUUUGCAUCGAUUUAUUGCUCGUCGAGGAAAACCCGUUGAUAUCUUUCCGACAGCGGUACCUCAUUUGUCGGUGCAUACAACGAACUAUCCAAGUUUUUAAAAUCGACUAGUUCGUCAUUGAGUGAAGAUGCAGCGAAAGAUGGUAUCAGGUUCCAUUUUAUACCUUCAACAAAGUACCACCUUAAUCGAGUGUUGGGAAAUUGUAAUUUGACGUUUGAAGAGCUUUACACCGCAUUAACUAAAAUUGAAGCCGUCCUGAAUUCUCGUCCACUGACGCCGUUAUCUUCAGAUCCUGCUGAUUACAGUCCGCUCACGCCAGGACAUUUUCUUGUUGGGCGACCUCUGACUUCCAUACAGCAACCUGACUUCAGCGGUUACUCUGCCAACCGCCUAUCUCGCUUUCAACGGAUUGAGCAGCUGCGUCAGCAUUUCUGGUACAGAUGGAGUAGAGAGUACGUUGCAGAGUUACAGCUGCGGACCAAGUGGCGUUCCUCGAAGGAUGCAUUACGGCUGAACACAUUGGUCGUGAUAAAGGAAGAUAACCUUCCUCCCUUGAAGUGGAGCUUGGGACGGAUUGUGGCCGUCUACCCAGCGAAGGAUGGCAUCGCUCGAGUAGCCGACAUCCAGACAUCCACCGGAGUUGUGAGACGCGCAUUUAACAGGAUCUGUCUGCUGCCGGUGUCCUCGGAUUAAUUUGGUUGAAACCGUUGCUUUCAACGCCCGGGGGCAUGUUGAAGCGCCUAGCCGUUGCUUCAUAGCAACACGUUUCCGACGGCCUAAUGAAGUUCGUAAUUUUUAAGCAGGCGCAUUAAUGCACCGUUGUCGUCACUUGCUUGUCAUGCAUUGUACUGUGAACACCAAAAUUAUAUUUCUCCGUUGUUUGAGUAUUUC
This is a long non-coding RNA of Helicoverpa armigera (cotton bollworm), 3229 nucleotides long. RefSeq lists it as uncharacterized. Lineage: Eukaryota; Metazoa; Arthropoda; Insecta; Lepidoptera; Noctuidae. The transcript is spliced from 2 exons. The record is from RefSeq and is a predicted model, not a curated record.